This 468-nucleotide ribosomal RNA is filed under the name uncultured bacterium. RNAcentral's name for it is "partial 16S ribosomal RNA". It matches the Rfam family "Bacterial small subunit ribosomal RNA", at positions 28 to 507 of the family's 1533-position model. The record is from RNAcentral.
GACGAACGCUGGCGGCGUGCUUAACACAUGCAAGUCGAACGGAAAGGCCCUGCUUUUGUGGGGUGCUCGAGUGGCGAACGGGUGAGUAACACGUGAGUAACCUGCUCUUGACUUUGGGAUAACUUCAGGAAACUGGGGCUAAUACCGGAUAGGAGCUCCUGCUGCAUGGUGGGGGUUGGAAAGUUUCGGCGGUUGGGGAUGGACUCGCGGCUUAUCAGCUUGUUGGUGGGGUAGUGGCUUACCAAGGCUUUGACGGGUAGCCGGCCUGAGAGGGUGACCGGCCACAUUGGGACUGAGAUACGGCCCAGACUCCUACGGGAGGCAGCAGUGGGGAAUAUUGCACAAUGGGCGGAAGCCUGAUGCAGCAACGCCGCGUGCGGGAUGACGGCCUUCGGGUUGUAAACCGCUUUCGCCUGUGACGAGGCGUGAGUGACGGUAAUGGGUAAAGAAGCACCGGCUAACUACGUG